Molecule: unclassified non-coding RNA, 2774 nt
Filed under: Hevea brasiliensis (rubber tree)
Lineage: Eukaryota; Viridiplantae; Streptophyta; Magnoliopsida; Malpighiales; Euphorbiaceae
Source: RNAcentral
UAUAAAAUAUUGACCUGUGAAAGCUCCUCGCCACCUUCUCCGUCAGCACAAUAUUCCACUGCCCAAACCAUCAAAGGAAAACAACUUUUCUCUCUCUCUCUCUGUGGCUGUGCCGGCCAAUUCAAGAAUGUCAGAAACAAGAGCGCCGCUGCCAUGGCUGUUCCGGCGGCGAUCAAGCAGCGAAAUGAUGAAAAAUUUAGCCUCAGUUUCAAGCAGCCUUUUGCCAGCUUUUGGAACCGUUGUUGACGAAGGACACUUGCAGCUAAGGAAAGGCGUCAUCGCUCCAUAUGAUCGUCGAUACAGGUGGUGGCAGACGUUCCUUGUAGUAUUGGUAAUAUACUCCGCAUGGGCGUCUCCGUUUGAGCUAGCUUUCAAGAAAGCGGCCACCGGUGGUGCUUUUAUGGCCGUCGAUUUGGUGGUUGAUGCCUUUUUCGCUGCUGACAUUUUCCUCACUUUCUUUGUGGCUUACUUGGACAAAUCUAGCUAUCUUCUUGUUGAUGAUCACAAGAAAAUUGCACUCAGGUAUAUCACAAGCUUAUGGUUGCCCAUGGACGUAGCCUCAACCCUUCCAUUUCAACUCAUAUACAGGAUUUUCACUGGCAAAAUGAGUGAAGCUGACGUCUUUGGGAUUCUCAACCUGCUUCGUCUCUGGCGACUUAGGCGGGUUAGCGAACUCUUUGAAAGGUUAGAGAAAGACACACGUUUCAGCUACUUUUUUACAAGACUCUUUAAACUAGUUAGUGUUACACUAUUUGCAGUGCACUCAGCAGGAUGCUUCUACUUCUGGCUGGCUGCCCAUCAUAAAAAUCCAGAAAAUACAUGGAUUGGAGUUCAGGUCCAUGAUUUCAAACACAGAAGCAUAUGGCUAGGUUACAUCUAUUCCAUUUACUGGUCAAUUGUCACCCUCACCACUGUUGGCUAUGGAGACUUGCAUGCAGUCAAUACAGGAGAGAAGAUUUUCAAUAUGUUUUAUAUGCUAUUCAACAUUGGUCUCACUGCUUAUAUAAUUGGAAACAUGACAAAUCUCAUUGUCCACAGUGCAUUUCGAACUUUAGUCAUGGUAAAUUCCAUCUAUUUCACUCGACUGCUAUUACCCUGCAAUUCGAAUUAGCAUCACAUCUCAUCUACCUCUCAAUCCAACAGCUCGAACAUACUAAAUGGACCAUAACUAGAAAAUGUUGUUCUUAAUUAUUGAUGUUUACUGUGGAUAAUGGUUUGACAGAGGGAUACCAUCAAUGAGAUAUUAAGAUAUGCAAGCAAGAAUAGACUCCCAGAAGGCUUGAAAGAUCAAAUGCUGGCACACAUGCAACUAAAAUUCAAGACAGCAGAGUUACAGCAAGAAGAAGUGUUAGAGGACCUACCAAAAGCUAUAAGAUCCAGCAUUGCGCAGCAUCUUUUCCGUAGCACUGUUGAAAACAGCUAUCUAUUCAAACGAGUCUCCGAAGACCUCAUUACCCAACUGAUAUCAGAGAUGAAAGCAGAAUACUAUCCACCCAAGGUGGAAAUCAUUUUGCAAAAUGAGAUUCCAACAGAUUUCUACAUUUUGGUGUCUGGAGAAGUGGAUGUGCUGACGCACAAGAAUGGAACACAGCAGUUUUUGUCAAAACUAGGGGCUGCAGAUAUGGCAGGAGAAAUAGGAGUUAUUUUCAAUAUCCCACAACCUUUUACAGUUAGGACCAAGAGGCUUUCCCAGGUCAUCAGGAUGAGUCAUCACCAUUUCAAGCAAAUGCUGCAGCCACAAAGUGAAGAAGGAAAAACAAUUAUCUCCAACUUUGUUCAGUACUUGAAGGGCUUAAAACAAGAGAUGCGAGAAGAAAUACCCUUCCUGAUGGAAUUGCUGGGUGACAUGAAUGCAGAGCACACUGCAACAAAUGAGGAGCUACAAAAUCCUGCAGCACUAAAUUCUCACAGAGAUGCAAGUGUAGAAGAAAGACCAGAACCUUCUAGUCCAAUAUCAAGCAAAUAUCGCAUAAGGGUGAUAAUCCAUGGGCAUCAUCCAAAUGAAAGUCUAGCAGAAGGUCAAAGCAACACAUUGGGAAAGCUCAUACACUUGCCUGAUUCAAUAGAAGAUCUUUUUAGAUUAGCAGAAAAGAAGUUUGGCAAACAAGGAAACACAAUUCUCAUGGAGGAUGGCUCACAAGUGGAAGACUUGGUUGCUUUAAGAGAGAAUGAUCACUUAUUUAUUUUCUGAAAAUUGAAAUAAUAUUUUUACUAAAUUUCAGCCUACAUUAUUUUUGUUCUAAGUGAUCAUUUUGCAAACUCAUUGAUCAAGUUUGAGUUGUCUAAUAUGAGACAAGGAGAAAUUAUGUACCUUGUGUAUUUGUUUUUUUUUUUUUUGGGUGUUAUUAAGGGUUUUGUAUUUUAAUUGGAAUUUUUGUUGCUGAAUUUAAAUCCUGGAAUAUAGAGGAUUUUGUGUACAUGAACAUAAUAUACGUUAUUGGAAAUAACUCUUAAUUAUUACUUUUAUGUCUCUUAUUUCAUUUGGGUUUCCUUUCUUGUUUGAAUUUCAUUGUUUUUUUGUCAUUUGGAACUGGAUAGGAAUUCUUUAUUUGAAGGAUGAAUUGGGUUUUCUGUUUUUCUUUCUUCAAUAUCAAAGUUUGUGGAUUUGAUUUGUGGUUUCUCAGAUUUGCAGUUCCUUAUUAUUAAUGUUUUGUAAUCAGGCAUUAUUAUGGUUCAUAAUUCAAUACAGAAUUUGCAUUAGUUUUGUUCUUUUUUCCUAUAUUUACCGCUAAUUUAGAGCUAAAAAAGGCUUUUUUUUUUAAUUAUUAUUAUUA